RNAcentral lists this small nuclear RNA (107 nucleotides) under Carlito syrichta (Philippine tarsier). Lineage: Eukaryota; Metazoa; Chordata; Mammalia; Primates; Tarsiidae. The record is from RNAcentral.
GUGCUCGCUUCAGCAGCACUUAUACUACAACUGGAACGAUACAGAGAAGAUAAGCAUGGCCCCAGAGCAAGGAUGACAUGUAAAUUCAUGAAACGUUCCAUAUUUUU